This 253-nucleotide ribosomal RNA is filed under the name uncultured bacterium. Its description in RNAcentral is "partial 16S ribosomal RNA". It matches the Rfam family "Bacterial small subunit ribosomal RNA", at positions 524 to 776 of the family's 1533-position model. The record is from RNAcentral.
GACAGAGGUCCCGAGCGUUAGGCGGAAUCACUGGGCUUAAAGCGUGUGUAGGCGGACUUCUAGGUACCUUGUGAAAUCCCACGGCUUAACCGUGGAACUGCUUGGUAUACCGGUUGUCUUGGGUCAUCUAGGGGCGAGCGGAACAAACGGUGGAGCGGUGAAAUGCGUAGAUAUCGUUUGGAACGCCAAUGGUGAAAACAGCUCGCUGGGGAUGCACCGACGCUGAGACACGAAAGCCAGGGGAGCGAACGGG